RNAcentral lists this ribosomal RNA (591 nucleotides) under uncultured bacterium. RNAcentral describes it as "partial 16S ribosomal RNA". It matches the Rfam family "Bacterial small subunit ribosomal RNA", at positions 355 to 1376 of the family's 1533-position model. The record is from RNAcentral.
UGGGGAAUAUUGCACAAUGGGCGCAAGCCUGAUGCAGCCAUGCCGCGUGUGUGAAGAAGGCCUUCGGGUUGUAAAGCACUUUCAGCGAGGAGGAAGGUGGUGAGCUUAAUACGCUCAUCAAUUGACGUUACUCGCAGAAGAAGCACCGGCUAACUCCGUGCCAGCGGCCGCGGUAAUACGGAGGGUGCAAGCGUUAAUCGGAAUUACUGGGCGUAAAGCGCACGCAGGCGGUUUGUUAAGUCAGAUGUGAAAUCCCCGGGCUCAACCUGGGAACUGCAUUUGAAACUGGCAAGCUAGAGUCUCGUAGAGGGGGGUAGAAUUCCAGGUGUAGCGGUGAAAUACGUAGAGAUCUGGAGGAAUACCGGUGGCGAAGGCGGCCCCCUGGACGAAGACUGACGCUCAGGUGCGAAAGCGUGGGGAGCAAAACAGGAUUAGAGUAACCCUGGUAGUCCACGCUGUAAACGAUGUCGAUUUUGGAGGUUGUGCCCUUGAGGCGUGGCUUCCGGAGCUAACGCGUUAAAUCGACCGCCUGGGGAGUACGGCCGCAAGGUUAAAACUUAAAUGAAUUGACGGGGUCAUAGCUGUUUCCUG